Molecule: long non-coding RNA, 950 nt
Filed under: Anas platyrhynchos platyrhynchos (common mallard)
Lineage: Eukaryota; Metazoa; Chordata; Aves; Anseriformes; Anatidae
Description: lncRNA (ENSAPLG00000021110.1)
Source: RNAcentral
CGUGGUUCUGCGUGGGCUCCUCUCCACGGGCUGCAGCUUGGGUCCGGGUUCUGCUCCUGUGUGGCCUCUCCAUGGGCCACAGCCACCUGCUCCACCGGGGGCUCCUCCACGGUCUGCAGAGUGGAGAUCUGCUCCAUGUGGGACCCAUGGGUGCAGGGGGUAGCCUGCUCCACCAGGGGCCUCUCCACAGGCCGCAGGGGAACUUGUGCUGCAUGCCUGGAGCACCUCCUGCCCUCCUGCUGCACUGACCUUGGUGCCUGCAGGGCUGGUUCUCACUCCAUCCUCUGCCACCUGUUGAUGUGCAGCAGGUUUUCUUCCUUUCUUAAAUAUUCUCUCACAGAGGUACAGUCAACAUCAAUUUUUGGCUCGUCUUUGGCCUGCAGCAGGUCCCUUUAGAGCAGUCUGACACUGGCCCUUUUCAAAUAGGAGGCAGCUUCUGGGUGAGUUCCCCAGAACUGGGUGAGCUUCAAUGUGGUGAGUUCCCCAGGAAGUCCACCACUCCCAGGUGAGUGAUUCCCUCCUACAGCCCCAGAAACUGGAGCAUGGGGAGUGGGCGUGCUGUGCUGCCUUCCCCAGGGCAUGGGGACAAGCAGGAGCUUCACCAGGCAGGAGCUGUGCCAACUGCAGGGACACGUCCUGCUCCCUGCCUCUCCCCAUCACACCCCGCUGCCCUCACACCCCUUGUCCUGCAGCUCCCCAUACCCGGAUCCGGCACGCCCUCCCCACAGGCACAGCGCUGGCAGUGGCAGCCGUCGGCCUUGUCAUUGUGGCUGCAGGCAGCUGGUUUGCCAUCAGGAAAGGUGCGUGCAGAGGGAGAUGCCCAAGGCAGCAGCACGUUGACAGCCCACAGAUGGAAACCACAGACCAUAGCGAAGUCACAUACUCCACCAUCGCCCACGUUCGACGGGACAGGGUGAGUCAUGGCACAGCUGUGCACAGCUCCUUUCUGC